Triticum aestivum (bread wheat) is the source of this 1235-nucleotide long non-coding RNA. RefSeq lists it as uncharacterized. The transcript has 2 exons. Lineage: Eukaryota; Viridiplantae; Streptophyta; Magnoliopsida; Poales; Poaceae. The record is from RefSeq and is a predicted model, not a curated record.
UCCAAAACAGGCCCCCAAGCCCCCACCUGCUAUAUAUGAACACCCUACACCUUCAUUUUCGGAAACCCUAGCCCCUAGCCCUUCUUCUCCACUGCCCCGCCACCACAUGUCCUCCACUAGCCGCCACCUGCGCUGCCCUACCACCGCCAUGAUCUGGAACAUUAAAUGUAGAUCAAACGUCUCCUACGCUUCCCCGUAGAGCCCCACUCCAUCGCGGUCCGCUCAAGCCCGGGCGAGGCACGCGUAGGCCAUACGUUGUCGCCCACGUGCUGCUCGUCGCCAAGCCGCCCCCAUCGAUCCAGGAUCGAGGGGAUAUCAAUCCUUGGCGCCCAACCUCGAGUGCCCUCUCCCCGUGUCCAGCCGGCCGGCGAGCCGUCAGAGCAGCAGCGCCACCAGAGGUACCUUCCAUGUCUGCCCUACUAGCUCCGAAACUCCGCCGCUGCGCCAAGGUUCCCCACCGCUCGACCAGAUCUGGCUUCCCCCGGUCCCGAUCCGUCCAUCCCCGCUGGUCUCCGACCUCCACCGUCCUGCCUCAGGCUCGCCAUCCCUCCAUGCCUCUACCUUUCUUGGCCUCCUCGUAGGAGGGAGACGAUGAGCGAGCUCGCAUGCUCGCAUGCUCGCUUGGGCCUACCUCCCUUGCUGUCGGCCUCGGCCCGCCUCUAUGCCUCCGGCCCAACGACGAGCUCGACCGCCUCCCUGACAGGGCCAAGAGCCCAUGGUGAGCGCGCCUCUCCAAUUCCUCACCCAGGCGCUACAUUGCUAUCGUGUGCCCAUCGUUUGUAGCCCGCUAUUGUACAUUCGACCCGAGUAUAUAUUUUUUCCUAUGUUUGCGAUUUAACAAUUACUAGUAAAUACGUCCGUGCGUUGCUACGGGGCAUUUUCUGGAGCAUGGGUUGGAAAAGUCAAGAAGUUGCACUCAUGUGUUUGAACGAUGCCUUCUUUAGAUACGCACUGCCCUCGGGUGGAAGGGUUGUAAUAUAGGAAAGGGUGUACAAUGAAGUUUGACCGGGUGCUUUAUUCCGGAAUUUGGAACGUAUUCUUUGAGUAUUUAGUUAUUGCACCCGUCAAUGAUACUCCAUUUGUUCCAAAUUAUGGGGAGUUAUAACCUUUUUUCUUAAUUAGAUGUAUAUAGACGUGUUUUAAUGUGUUUCUUCAUUCAUUUCAGUUUGUAUGUAGUCUACAUUAAAAUAUCGAAAACAUCUUAUAUUAGUGAAAGGGGUACAUCAUUGUAACAU